CUGUGUAUGGCAGGGGGCGGAGGCAGGGAGAAGGAGUGAGAGAGUGCUCUGGUGUCUCUUCUAAUAAAGACACCAAUCCUAUUGGAUCAGUGUUGCACCCUUACAAUCUCAUUUAAACUUAAUUACUUCCAUAUAAGUCUCAUCUCCAAAUACAGCCACACUGAGGGUUAAGGAUUCUACAUAUGAAUUUUGAGAGGCAAAAACUCUCAGUCUACAACACUAGUUUUUUUUUUUUUUUUUAAUUUUGUAGAUUGUUCUUUUGGUGUCCUAUUUAAAAAAUUAUUUCCUAACCCAAGGUCACAAAAGUUUCCUUCUGUAUUUUAUUGUUUUAGAUUUUACAUUUAGGUCUAUGAUCCAUUUUGAUUUAAUUUUCAUAUCUCUGUGAGCCUUGCUCAACUCAAAUAUGGGUUCUAAGAGUGAUUUUGAAGGUUCUACCAGAUUUUCUACAUAGACGAUCAUGUUAUCUAUUCUCUAUACAGGCUGACCCCUAUGGCCUACUAAGAAUGAAUAAUUAAAACUCUAGGAAUCCCAGGGUUUGUUGGAGUUCAGGGUUGUCGCUGAGUGGUGGAAAUAUUGUUCUCAACCAAAAAAAAAAAAAAAAAUGUGGGGAUUACAUGCCAGUACCAUCCACCCCUGCAUUAGAAGUUUUCAUCGAAGAGCUUCAUUUCACAAGCUUUCAGCGUUGAUCUCACCUCCUCGAAGAUGACACAUCUGAUCCCUCUGUCUAAAAUCUCAUUAAGCCUUGAACAUAUUAUGAUGAAUAAAAAUGUUAAGGGACAUCAUGAAGCUCAUUCUAGCCACAACUCUUCAAACUGCACCAUGGAUCAUUUUUGAAAGGUAAUAACAUCUUUAACAUUAAGAAAUCUCAAGUUUUCCAUUUGAGAAAUCUUCUGGAUUCUGCAUUCCAGUGGUUCCACUGAAGCCAGUAGGGCUGAAUACCCCAUGUAGGAACAGACUCAGCACAAGAAUGUAGGUUCUACAUUCUUAUCAUUUCAUUCCCCAUGCCCUAACCAAUCAGUGAUCCCAAUUCCUCAGCCCACUAUUCUCCAAAAUUUCCUUAAAUAUGCCCAUCCAAAACCCCUCAGGGAAGCAGAUUUGAGGUUCCCUUCAGUUCCCUUCUUUGGUUGCCCUAUGAUUAUUAAACUAUUUCUCUACUGCAACUCUUGCUGUUUCAG
This 1175-nucleotide long non-coding RNA is filed under the name Homo sapiens (human). RNAcentral's name for it is "HSALNT0224058". The record is from RNAcentral. Lineage: Eukaryota; Metazoa; Chordata; Mammalia; Primates; Hominidae.